RNAcentral lists this ribosomal RNA (497 nucleotides) under uncultured bacterium. RNAcentral's name for it is "partial 16S ribosomal RNA". It matches the Rfam family "Bacterial small subunit ribosomal RNA", at positions 28 to 507 of the family's 1533-position model. The record is from RNAcentral.
GAUGAACGCUGGCGGCGUGCCUAAUACAUGCAAGUCGAGCGAACGGACGAGAAGCUUGCUUCUCUGAUGUUAGCGGCGGACGGGUGAGUAACACGUGGAUAACCUACCUAUAAGACUGGGAUAACUUCGGGAAACCGGAGCUAAUACCGGAUGAUAUUUUGAACCGCAUGGUUCAAAAGUGAAAGACGGUCUUGCUGUCACUUAUAGAUGGAUCCGCGCUGCAUUAGCUAGUUGGUAAGGUAACGGCUUACCAAGGCAACGAUGCAUAGCCGACCUGAGAGGGUGAUCGGCCACACUGGAACUGAGACACGGUCCAGACUCCUACGGGAGGCAGCAGCAGGGAAUCUUCCGCAAUGGGCGAAAGCCUGACGGAGCAACGCCGCGUGAGUGAUGAAGGUCUUCGGAUCGUAAAACUCUGUUAUUAGGGAAGAACAUAUGUGUAAGUAACUGUGCACAUCUUGACGGUACCUAAUCAGAAAGCCACGGCUAACUACGUG